RNAcentral lists this ribosomal RNA (253 nucleotides) under uncultured bacterium. RNAcentral's name for it is "partial 16S ribosomal RNA". It matches the Rfam family "Bacterial small subunit ribosomal RNA", at positions 524 to 776 of the family's 1533-position model. The record is from RNAcentral.
UACGGGGGGGGCAAGCGUUGUUCGGAAUUACUGGGCUUAAAGGGCGCGUAGGCGGAUGCUCAAGUCGGUGGUGAAAUCUUUCGGCUCAACCGGAAAACAGCCGCCGAUACUGGGCAUCUCGAGGGAGGUAGGGGUCGAGGGAACUUCCGGUGGAGCGGUGAAAUGCGUAGAUAUCGGAAGGAACGCCGGUGGCGAAAGCGCUCGACUGGACCUCUUCUGACGCUGAGACGCGAAAGCGUGGGGAGCGAACAGG